Molecule: ribosomal RNA, 403 nt
Filed under: Fusobacteriota bacterium
Lineage: Bacteria; Fusobacteriati; Fusobacteriota
Description: Fusobacteria bacterium partial 16S ribosomal RNA
Rfam family: Bacterial small subunit ribosomal RNA
Source: RNAcentral
UGGGGAAUAUUGCACAAUGGGGGAAACCCUGAUGCAGCGACGCCGCGUGAGCGAAGAAGGUUUUCGAAUCGUAAAGCUCUGUCCUAUGGGAAGAUAAUGACGGUACCAUAGCAGGAAGCCCCGGCUAACUACGUGCCAGCAGCCGCGGUAAUACGUAGGGGGCAAGCGUUGUCCGGAAUCACUGGGCGUAAAGGGUUCGCAGGCGGAAAUGCAAGUCAGUUGUGAAAGGCAGAGGCUCAACCUCUGUAAGCAAUUGAAACUGUAUUUCUUGAGAUGUGGAGAGGCAAGUGGAAUUCCUAGUGUAGCGGUGAAAUGCGUAGAUAUUAGGAAGAAUACCGGUGGCGAAGGCGACUUGCUGGACACAAACUGACGCUGAGGAACGAAAGCGUGGGUAGCAAACAGG